UCAGCGAGCCUGUGUCUCUGCGUUGGAGCGUUUAAUCCACUCACAUUUAAGGUCCUCGCCAAUCAUUUCUUGCAUCUUCUGGAUCCCCGCCUCCAUUUCUUUCCGAGGUCCCGGAUCAUCUUCACCAUCAUUAUUCUGAAUUCUUUCUUGGAAGGUUGCCUAUCUCCACUUCAUUCAGUUGUCCCUCUGGGGUUCCAUCUUGUGACUUCAUCAGCCUGGGGUUAGGACCGGCCCCGACAAACACUUCCCGCCGAGGAGCCCUUGGUCCUCGUCUCCACAGCACCAAGACCCUUCUCCAACAGAGGACAAAUGCCUGACCCUGGAGGCCGGUGUUCAGUGUGUGCGAAGUGAGGCUGAGUAACAGGCCGGAGCCGGGAGAGCUGGGCACAGGGAGGCGCCCCAACAUGAGUCCCUCCCUCCACCGAAGAACGUCCCAGCCUUUCCUUCCUGCAACUGGACCACGAAGCCCUGAGCUCCCUCACCUUCCAACGUUCCCAUGGCCGGUUUAGAAAUGACCUGCUAGGCCUUGUUAUAAAGCAAAAGAGUGGCACUGGCUACAGAGACAGGGGACCUGUAUUCAAAUCCUGGCCCUGCCGCCUGCUCUACGUCCAGCCUUCAGCAAGUCCCUUCACUUCUGUAGUCUGUGGUCUGUGUAUCAGUAAAGCAGUGGUAACAAUCCCAGCUCUCGCAACCUCACCAGAUGGAGACCAGGAUCAAUCGAAUGAACUGUGGGCAUUUAAAUAGCACACACGUUACAGGAUCACAAAAAAUGAUUCUUUCAUGGGUUGCCCUCUAAGACAGGCAGUUCACAGCACCAGACACCCACUCCCUCACUCCCCCCUGCUGCUGAGACACCACUCUCCAGGCCACAACUGCUGCUCCGGAGCGGCUGCACUGCCUCUGUGACUGUCCUUGUAUCUGAUUUCUAGUCACAUGGCAAGCCAGCCUCCUUUUUUGCAGACUUAUAUAACGCCACUUUCCUCCCUCCUUGGCUAUGGCUCCUGCUUCCGCCACCUGCCCCAGGGAACUUCGCUGCCUGAGAGGCUGCAGAGAUCCAUGCGGGUGGGGGCCAGAGUGGAGCAGAGGGAAACCCUCAGGGGGGGUCUCCCUGCUUGGACCACAUCCAUCCUGGAAGGCAGAUGCACACACAGGGCCCCUCCUGGUGACCCUGAAGGCCUGACAAGAAGUUGCUUGGAGACCUGGGCACUCCACUCCACUCCAGAGCGUGUGUCCAGAGCAGCCAGGCCAGGACAUGCUCCUUCCCGGCAGCCCCAGCCAAGUCGGGCUCUUCUCUAUGGGCAGAAAAGAGAUCAGAUAAGGCCAGAGAGAUUGUUUCCUCCAACUGUCAGCCUCCUGCAUAUGCUUCCCACAGUCACCGCCUCUCCUUCCUCUGUUCCCGUGCCCAGCAACUCCUCCCCCAGCCUGUCUUGCACAGUGACCGGCACUCCUCCCGUGGGACAGCCCCCCGCACACAGCCUGCCUCGCAGUACGGUCCAGGCCCCUCGGCUUGCCCUUCCAAGCCCGCUGUCCUGCUCACUUCUGCAACUUCUUGCUGCAGCACGUCUCCGUGUCCACCUUCCCCAGGCUGGGGCUCGCCUGCCUCUCUGUGCUGGUCCCCACCCCUAAAACCUCCUCCUUUCCCACCCACCCGUUCACCUCUACAUCCAGGCGCCUGGUUCUUUUGAGUGCCCUUCCCAGCAUGGAAUACUGCCAUGCUUUGGAGCCCUGGGAGGUUUAAUCGGGCUUUUCCUGCCACAUCUUCCCUAGCAGCAACCUCAAACAUUGUUCACAUCACAGGCGCAAGCCCUCUCUACUCCCUGAGGCCUCUUCAGGCCUUGGGUUCUCUUUCUGACCCUCCAAUACUAGGAGAGUGAGGCUGGGAGGAGCCCCAGCGUGUGGUGGGACACUCUGUAUUCCGCAGCAAGCAUCUACCACUCUCUCAGCUCCCAGGCCGACAAGCUUCCCUAGGAAACCUGCAAGAUGCUAAGGUCUGAGACCCAGAUCCUGCCCCGGCUCUGCAGCAAUGAAGAUGGAUAAACCCUCCUUCUCCAAAAAUGAUUAAGGAGGUGUUAUGAAAAAACUAAGUGGAAGAAAGUAUUUUCUUUGAUAUUUUCUACACCAGAAAUAACCACUAUUCAAAGCCUCCUGAUAUUUCCCCCAUGAGCACAUGAUAUUAACUUGACGUCUGAGCAUUUUCUUUCUUUUUUAAAUUAAUUUAUUUAUUUUUGGCUGCGUUGGGUCUUUGUUGCUGCGCGUGGGCUUUCUCUAG
Non-coding RNA from Delphinapterus leucas (beluga whale), 2269 nucleotides. The record is from RefSeq and is a predicted model, not a curated record. NCBI's taxonomy places the organism in Eukaryota, Metazoa, Chordata, Mammalia, Artiodactyla, Monodontidae.